This 137-nucleotide ribosomal RNA is filed under the name uncultured eukaryote. Its description in RNAcentral is "partial 18S ribosomal RNA". It matches the Rfam family "Eukaryotic small subunit ribosomal RNA", at positions 1299 to 1458 of the family's 1831-position model. The record is from RNAcentral.
UUGUGGAGUGAUUUGUCUGCUUAAUUGCGAUAACGAACGAGACCUUAACCUACUAAAUAGCCAGGCUAGCUUUGGCUGGUCGCCGGCUUCUUAGAGGGACUUUCGGCUCAAGCCGAAGGAAGUUUGAGGCAAUAACA